AGAGAGAGAGAGAGAGAGAGAGAGAGAGAGAGAGAGAGAGAGAGAGAGAGAGAGAGAGAGAGAGAGAGAGAGUUGGGCUAGAAUACUAUUGAUAGCAAAAGAACUUUUUUGCUAUCAAGUUUUUAGUUUUUGAAUCAAAUCCUUUCAUCAUUUCUAACCACUGGAUUAAAUAUUAUAACCCAGUGGGAACCACUCAAUCCUAAGGGGCUAAUAUCAUCCUAAUUCUAUAAUUUCUCAUCCAAGGGUUAAAAACUUGAUAGCAAACAAGGCUUUUUGCUAUCAAUAGUAUUCUAGCCUAACUACUCUCUCUCUAUAUAUAAGGUAGGCUCCUAUACUAUCUAUAGUACCGGGUCUUCGAUACUAUAGUCUGUUUUUCGAUCUUACGGUUUUCAAAUCAGUGAUCCACACUGUUAAAAAUGAUAUAGGGUAUUUAAAGUUUUUAGGAAUAAAAUUUUAUAUUUUUUCAACAUAGUUUAUGGUAUGAUCAAAUUAUUUCAAAAUUAUCAAUUUUCAAUAGCUACUAUGGCGAGUUUGGAGUUUAAUAGUAUAAAAAAAUCUAAAGUUAUUCAAAUUCUAAUAGAAAAUACUUUAAACUAUCUAGAUCAAGAUCAAUAUCCUUGAUCUUGAAUUCAAAAGUCCUAUUCUUAAAUUUUAAAAAUUGUUUAAUUUUUACCGUUCAUUUUGACAUGAUUUACUUACUAAGUAAACAAUGUUAAAAAAAAUUAAAAAUUCUAAGAACUUCAUAUAGAUCAUAUUUAACGGUGUUGAUCGUUUAUUUGAACACUCUAAGAUCGAAAACAAGCUUAUAGUACCGAAACUCCCGUAUUAUAGAUAAUAUAGUAGUCUCAUUCUACACACACGCGCGCACACACACACAUAUAGAGAGAGAUAGUAGGUCUUGUGUGCUAUUAGGAGUAUGGAGGCUUCCAUACUUCUAAGUCGUUUUCAACAAUAGAGCUUCCGAAUUGCUGAU
This 973-nucleotide long non-coding RNA is filed under the name Ananas comosus (pineapple). RNAcentral describes it as "long non-coding RNA (ACOM_LNC010549)". Lineage: Eukaryota; Viridiplantae; Streptophyta; Magnoliopsida; Poales; Bromeliaceae. The record is from RNAcentral.